GAACUUGGAGAUAGCUGGUUCUCUCCGAAAUAGCUUUAGGGCUAGCCUCAAGUGAUGAUUAUUGGAGGUAGAGCACUGUUUGGACGAGGGGCCCCUCUCGGGUUACCGAAUUCAGACAAACUCCGAAUGCCAAUUAAUUUAACUUGGGAGUCAGAACAUGGGUGAUAAGGUCCGUGUUCGAAAGGGAAACAGCCCAGACCACCAGCUAAGGUCCCAAAAUAUAUGUUAAGUGGAAAAGGAUGUGGCGUUGCCCAGACAACUAGGAUGUUGGCUUAGAAGCAGCCAUCAUUUAAAGAGUGCGUAAUAGCUCACUAGUCGAGUGACACUGCGCCGAAAAUGUACCGGGGCUAAACAUAUUACCGAAGCUGUGGAUUGUCCUUUGGACAAUGGUAGGAGAGCGUUCUAAGGGCGUUGAAGCAUGAUCGCAAGGACAUGUGGAGCGCUUAGAAGUGAGAAUGCCGGUGUGAGUAGCGAAAGACGGGUGAGAAUCCCGUCCACCGAUUGACUAAGGUUUCCAGAGGAAGGCUCGUCCGCUCUGGGUUAGUCGGGUCCUAAGCUGAGGCCGACAGGCGUAGGCGAUGGAUAACAGGUUGAUAUUCCUGUACCACCUAUAAUCGUUUUAAUCGAUGGGGGGACGCAGUAGGAUAGGCGAAGCGUACGAUUGGAUUGUACGUCUAAGCAGUGAGAUUGAGUGUUAGGCAAAUCCGGCACUCUUAAGAUUGAGCUGUGAUGGGGAGAGGAAAUUGUUUCCUCGAGUCGUUGAUUUCACACUGCCGAGAAAAGCCUCUAGAUAGAGAUUAGGUGCCCGUACCGCAAACCGACACAGGUAGUCAAGAUGAGAAUUCUAAGGUGAGCGAGCGAACUCUCGUUAAGGAACUCGGCAAAAUGACCCCGUAACUUCGGGAGAAGGGGUGCUCUUUAGGGUGCAAGCCCAGAAGAGCCGCAGUGAAUAGGCCCAAGCGACUGUUUAUCAAAAACACAGGUCUCUGCUAAACCGUAAGGUGAUGUAUAGGGGCUGACGCCUGCCCGGUGCUGGAAGGUUAAGAGGAGUGGUUAGCUUCUGCGAAGCUACGAAU
RNAcentral lists this ribosomal RNA (1076 nucleotides) under Listeria monocytogenes. Its description in RNAcentral is "partial 23S ribosomal RNA". It matches the Rfam family "Bacterial large subunit ribosomal RNA", at positions 835 to 1912 of the family's 2925-position model. Lineage: Bacteria; Bacillati; Bacillota; Bacilli; Caryophanales; Listeriaceae. The record is from RNAcentral.